RNAcentral lists this long non-coding RNA (417 nucleotides) under Homo sapiens (human). RNAcentral describes it as "non-protein coding LINC02427:20". The record is from RNAcentral. Lineage: Eukaryota; Metazoa; Chordata; Mammalia; Primates; Hominidae.
CAAACAUCGGUGGGCACAACGACAUCUGUUUUCGUUGAAAACUGAGGCCUUAGGCUUUGGUUGAAAACCGAGGCCAAGGGUGACCAGCCAGUGAGUUAAGGAGGCCCCAGCCGAACUUUGCUGGAAGUGCUCCAGCAUAAAGCCUCUCUCCAGAACCAGCCGCCACUGAGACGUCUUGAAGUCAAAGUAACUCACACCCUUGUCCACCUCGCCCUGCGGUGAAGAAACUUCGGUCGCACAGGCUCCAGAACUCAUCUUGGCGUGGGCUGUGACUUACUGGGGGAUGGGCCUCCUUUUCGUUCUAGCUCCUAAAUGGAGCGGAGCGCCAGGUGGUGUCAGAGGGGGCGGCGGCCCCUCCAAUGGUGGCACCCUCAGCCACGGAUAAGGUUCCAAUUAGGUAAGGACGCAAGUAAUGCU